GAUUAGUGGCGAACGGGUGAGUAACACGUGGGCAAUCUGCCCUUCACUCUGGGACAAGCCCUGGAAACGGGGUCUAAUACCGGAUAAUACUCCUGCCUGCAUGGGUGGGGGUUGAAAGCUCCGGCGGUGAAGGAUGAGCCCGCGGCCUAUCAGCUUGUUGGUGGGGUAAUGGCCUACCAAGGCGACGACGGGUAGCCGGCCUGAGAGGGCGACCGGCCACACUGGGACUGAGACACGGCCCAGACUCCUACGGGAGGCAGCAGUGGGGAAUAUUGCACAAUGGGCGAAAGCCUGAUGCAGCGACGCCGCGUGAGGGAUGACGGCCUUCGGGUUGUAAACCUCUUUCAGCAGGGAAGAAGCGCAAGUGACGGUACCUGCAGAAGAAGCGCCGGCUAACUACGUGCCAGCAGCCGCGGUAAUACGUAGGGCGCAAGCGUUGUCCGGAAUUAUUGGGCGUAAAGAGCUCGUAGGCGGCUUGUCACGUCGGAUGUGAAAGCCCGGGGCUUAACCCCGGGUCUGCAUUCGAUACGGGCUAGCUAGAGUGUGGUAGGGGAGAUCGGAAUUCCUGGUGUAGCGGUGAAAUGCGCAGAUAUCAGGAGGAACACCGGUGGCGAAGGCGGAUCUCUGGGCCAUUACUGACGCUGAGGAGCGAAAGCGUGGGGAGCGAACAGGAUUAGAUACCCUGGUAGUCCACGCCGUAAACGUUGGGAACUAGGUGUUGGCGACAUUCCACGUCGUCGGUGCCGCAGCUAACGCAUUAAGUUC
Molecule: ribosomal RNA, 765 nt
Filed under: Streptomyces sp.
Lineage: Bacteria; Bacillati; Actinomycetota; Actinomycetes; Kitasatosporales; Streptomycetaceae
Description: bacterial SSU rRNA
Rfam family: Bacterial small subunit ribosomal RNA
Source: RNAcentral